AGCCUGAUGCAGCGACGCCGCGUGAGGGAUGACGGCCUUCGGGUUGUAAACCUCUUUCACCAGGGACGAAGCUUUUGUGACGGUACCUGGAGAAGAAGCACCGGCCAACUACGUGCCAGCAGCCGCGGUAAUACGUAGGGUGCGAGCGUUGUCCGGAAUUACUGGGCGUAAAGAGCUCGUAGGCGGUUUGUCGCGUCGUCUGUGAAAUUCUGCAGCUUAACUGCAGGCGUGCAGGCGAUACGGGCAGACUUGAGUACUACAGGGGAGACUGGAAUUCCUGGUGUAGCGGUGAAAUGCGCAGAUAUCAGGAGGAACACCGGUGGCGAAGGCGGGUCUCUGGGUAGUAACUGACGCUGAGGAGCGAAAGCGUGGGUAGCGAACAGGAUUAGAUACCCUGGUAGUCCACGCCGUAAACGGUGGGUACUAGGUGUGGGUUCCAUUUCACGGGAUCCGUGCCGUAGCUAACGCAUUAAGUACCCCGCCUGGGGAGUACGGCCG
Molecule: ribosomal RNA, 498 nt
Filed under: Gordonia polyisoprenivorans
Lineage: Bacteria; Bacillati; Actinomycetota; Actinomycetes; Mycobacteriales; Gordoniaceae
Description: bacterial SSU rRNA
Rfam family: Bacterial small subunit ribosomal RNA
Source: RNAcentral